RNAcentral lists this ribosomal RNA (1505 nucleotides) under metagenome. RNAcentral's name for it is "bacterial LSU rRNA". It matches the Rfam family "Bacterial large subunit ribosomal RNA", at positions 1436 to 2925 of the family's 2925-position model. The record is from RNAcentral.
UUCCAGAACCGCCGACGGGUGCGAUGUGGGGACGGAGAAGGUUAUGCGAGCCGGCUGUUGGACGUGCCGGUGAAGCGUGUAGGUGGAUCCCUUAGGGAAAUCCGGGGGGUCGUUACCACCGAGGCGCGGGACCAUGAGAGCUUUGCUCUCGGAAGUCGCGGAUACCAUGCUUCCAGGAAAAGCCACUAAGCUUCAGCCCGUUGGGACCGUACCGCAAACCGACACAGGUGGGCAGGAUGAAAAUUCUCAGGCGCUUGAGAGAACUCAGGAGAAGGAACUCGGCAAAUUGACACCGUAACUUCGGGAGAAGGUGUGCCGCUGGUAGGUGAGGGGGAUUUACUCUCCUGAGCCGAGAGCGGCCGCAGAGAAUCGGUGGCUGCGACUGUUUAUCAAAAACACAGCACUCUGCUAAGACGUUGGAAGUCGACGUAUAGGGUGUGACGCCUGCCCGGUGCCGGAAGGUUAAGUGAUGGGGUGCAAGCUCUUGAUCGAAGCCCCGGUAAACGGCGGCCGUAACUAUAACGGUCCUAAGGUAGCGAAAUUCCUUGUCGGGUAAGUUCCGACCCGCACGAAUGGCGUAACGAUGGCCACACUGUCUCCUCCUGAGACUCAGCGAAGUUGAAAUGUUUGUGAAGAUGCAAUCUUCCCGCGGCUAGACGGAAAGACCCCAUGAACCUUUACUGUAGCUUUGCAUUGGACUGUGACGCUGUCUGUGUAGGAUAGCUGGGAGGCGAUGAAGCGGUGCCGCUAGGUGCCGUGGAGCCGACGUUGAAAUACCAGCCUGACGACGUUGCGGUUCUAACCUGGGCCCCUUGACGGGGUCGGGGACCGUGCAUGGUAGGCAGUUUGACUGGGGCGUCUCCUCCCAAAGAGUAACGGAGGAGUGCGAAGGUCACCUAGGUACGGUCGGAAAUCGUACUCAUAGUGCAAUGGCAUAAGGUGGCUUGACUGCGAGACUGACAAGUCGAGCAGGUGCGAAAGCAGGACAUAGUGAUCCGGUGGUUCUGAAUGGAAGGGUCAUCGCUCAACGGAUAAAAGGUACUCUGGGGAUAACAGGCUGAUUCCUCCCAAGAGUUCAUAUCGACGGGGGAGUUUGGCACCUCGAUGUCGGCUCAUCACAUCCUGGGGCUGUAGCCGGUCCCAAGGGUAUGGCUGUUCGCCAUUUAAAGUGGUACGUGAGCUGGGUUCAAAACGUCGUGAGACAGUUUGGUCCCUAUCUGCCGUGGGCGUUGGAGAUUUGACGGGGGCUGCUCCUAGUACGAGAGGACCGGAGUGGACGCAUCCCUGGUGUACCGGUUGUCACGCCAGUGGCAUCGCCGGGUAGCUAUAUGCGGAAGAGAUAACCGCUGAAAGCAUCUAAGCGGGAAACUUGCCUGAAGAUGAGAUCUCCCGGGGGUUUAACCCCCCUGAAGGGUCGUCGGAGACUACGACGUUGAUAGGCCGGGUGUGUAAGGGCAGUAAUGCCUUGAGCUAACCGGUACUAAUUGCCCGUGCGGCUUGACUCU